Molecule: non-coding RNA, 491 nt
Organism: Leptonychotes weddellii (Weddell seal)
Lineage: Eukaryota; Metazoa; Chordata; Mammalia; Carnivora; Phocidae
Source: RefSeq, a predicted model, not a curated record
AGUCCUAAGGACGUGCUGGGAUUUUAGCCUUGGGAUGUAAGCUUUUGGGGCACCUCUGGCACAAAGAAAGGAGAAGAAUCAGCAGCACAGCCCCAGUAUAGGUCUGAUGAGGUCAGAAGCCCGGUGAGGAAGAGAAGUUAAACUUCGAGAGAAACCUAAUGGACAAUCUCCACAGCAGAUUUGUCCGCCGAAGCUUGAAGAAGCUGAGAAAUCUGCCUCGAGGUCACAAAGCUAGUAAAGAAACUGAGGAAUCGAGAGACCACAGAGUUUCCCACGUCUGCACUUGGUGAGGGAGCUGUUGCUAACAGGUAACUUGGCCGGGCUGGUUCCCCCCAGACACGGUAUAACACUUCGAGUUUGAGGCACAAAACUCCCCCCUGAUAGUUAGGACUGUCAUUUCAACCGUUGUUCUUCCCAAAAUAUUUCACAAAACACAAGUUUUGUUGGUUGUUAAUAAGUCUUUUAUGGGGGAAAAAUUCUGUGGUCAAAUA